UUGACCUCAAAUCAGGUAGGACUACCCGCUGAACUUAAGCAUAUCAAUAAGCGGAGGAAAAGAAACUAACAAGGAUUCCCCUAGUAACUGCGAGUGAAGCGGGAAAAGCUCAAAUUUAAAAUCUGGCGGUCUCCGGCCGUCCGAGUUGUAAUCUAGAGAAGUGUUAUCCGCGCUGGACCGUGUACAAGUCUCCUGGAAUGGAGCGUCAUAGAGGGUGAGAAUCCCGUCUUUGACACGGACUGCCAGGGCUUUGUGAUGCGCUCUCAAAGAGUCGAGUUGUUUGGGAAUGCAGCUCAAAAUGGGUGGUAAAUUCCAUCUAAAGCUAAAUAUUGGCGAGAGACCGAUAGCGAACAAGUACCGUGAGGGAAAGAUGAAAAGAACUUUGGAAAGAGAGUUAAACAGUACGUGAAAUUGCUGAAAGGGAAACGCUUGAAGUCAGUCGCGUUGGCCGGGGAUCAACCUUGCUUUUGCUGGGCGUACUUUCCGGUUGACGGGUCAGCAUCAAUUUUGACCGUUGGAUAAAGUCCAGGGGAAUGUGGCAUCUUCGGAUGUGUUAUAGCCCUUGGUCGCAUACAACGGUUGGGAUUGAGGAACUCAGCACGCCGCAAGGCCGGGUACUUGUACCACGU
RNAcentral lists this ribosomal RNA (629 nucleotides) under Hebeloma sp. EH36. RNAcentral's name for it is "eukaryotic LSU rRNA". It matches the Rfam family "Eukaryotic large subunit ribosomal RNA", at positions 1 to 617 of the family's 3401-position model. Lineage: Eukaryota; Fungi; Basidiomycota; Agaricomycetes; Agaricales; Hymenogastraceae. The record is from RNAcentral.